This 207-nucleotide ribosomal RNA is filed under the name uncultured bacterium. RNAcentral's name for it is "partial 16S ribosomal RNA". It matches the Rfam family "Bacterial small subunit ribosomal RNA", at positions 568 to 774 of the family's 1533-position model. The record is from RNAcentral.
CACGUAGGCGGCCUGGUAAGUCAGAUGUGAAAGCCCGGGGCUUAACCCCGGAAGUGCAUUUGAUACUGUCAGGCUUGAGUAUGGGAGAGGGAAGUGGAAUUCCUGGUGUAGAGGUGAAAUUCGUAGAUAUCAGGAGGAACACCGGUGGCGAAGGCGACUUCCUGGACCAAUACUGACGCUGAGGUGCGAAGGCGAGGGUAGCAAACA